AAGAUGAGUGUCACGAAGUGGUAUAAUGUCCUGCAAAAUAUGGAAAUAACUCUUUCACAAUUCCAAUGGUGAAACUGAGAUCUAGAAAGAACUAACUUGCCUAGUUGUGACAAAAGUGAAACAGUUGCCUGUCCUGGCUUGAAGGUGUGUCCUUAUCUGGGAGUAUCCUUGUGCAGUUUGCAUGUGCCUGGUGGCUUUGGUGAGAGAGUUGCAUCUAAGAGGCUGCUGUGUGGAGCUGGCUGUAGUGCGUGCCAACGAAUUAUGGAAGACAGAAUAAUGCUCCAUUAUCAUAAGAGGUCUCUUGGAAACAAGUGCUCUGGGAGAAGCCGACUGCCACCAUGCUAUAAGCAAACUCUCAAGGUAUCCAGAAGUGAGGCCACAUGGAGAAAUGAAGAUGUAUGGAUAUUCCUCAGCUAUUCCACUCAGCCCACCUGAGG
Molecule: long non-coding RNA, 437 nt
Organism: Orcinus orca (killer whale)
Lineage: Eukaryota; Metazoa; Chordata; Mammalia; Artiodactyla; Delphinidae
Exons: 5
Source: RefSeq, a predicted model, not a curated record